Molecule: ribosomal RNA, 449 nt
Filed under: uncultured bacterium
Lineage: Bacteria
Description: bacterial SSU rRNA
Rfam family: Bacterial small subunit ribosomal RNA
Source: RNAcentral
UGGGGAAUCUUGCGCAAUGCGCGAAAGCGUGACGCAGCAACGCCGCGUGGGGGAAGACGGCCUUAGGGUUGUAAACCCCUUUCAGGAGGGACGAAGGUUCACCGGUGAAUAGCCGUGUGGAUUGACGGUACCUCCACAAGAAGCACCGGCUAACUACGUGCCAGCAGCCGCGGUAAUACGUAGGGUGCAAGCGUUGUCCGGAAUCAUUGGGCGUAAAGCGCGCGUAGGUGGUCAUGUAAGUCCGCUGUGAAAGUCAAAGGCUCAACCUUUGAAAGCCGGUGGAUACUGCAUGACUAGAGUACGGAAGAGGCGAGUGGAAUUCCUGGUGUAGCGGUGGAAUGCGCAGAUAUCAGGAGGAACACCAAUAGCGAAGGCAGCUCGCUGGGACGUUACUGACACUGAGGCGCGAAAGCGUGGGGAGCGAACAGGAUUAGAUACCCCCGUAGUCC